AGAAACAUACACUUGCUGUGAGAGCCGGACCAGCCUCUGUGGGUGUGGGCAAGGCGUGAUGGGGUGCAGCAGAGGUUGGGGGAGAGGCAGCACCCACAGGGUCAUCAGGAGGUGUGAGGGGACAAGAAAAGGCGGGGAUCCAAUGGGAGUGGCCCAGAGUGUUGUCCAGAACACACAGACAAGGCUGAGAAGUGUGCCCCGUGGGUCAUGAGGUGGCUGCAGAGCUGUCACUCACCUGCAGAGCUGGGAAGAGAUGUGACGAGAGAGGAGAUGGACUGGCUCUCAGUGGACACAGACCUGGUGGUGGGGAGGGAGGAGCUUCCGUGUGCAGUGAUGGAGCUGGCUAGGAACACAGUAGUCUGCAGCCUGGUGGUACUCGGCUGUCUGGUGGUGAGGUUGGUGGCUGGAGAACUUGGGACGGCUGUCACCCCCAGUGUAGAAGACAGGAGGCCGUGGGUGGGGGUUUGGGUGGUGAGAGAGGUGGACUGGGCGGUGGUGGACUGAGAGGAUGGGACAGAGGAAGUGGGACUGCUGACCGUGGUCCGGGGUGUAGACAGGAUGACCGUACUAACAGUGGGGGCAGGGGACAGGGUGGGAGCUGAUGGAGGUGACAGGGAGGCCCUGAUGGGUGUGGAGGCGGCUGGGGAAGGGGGGCUGGUUGGCAGGGACGCUGUUUGUGACAUGGUCAGAGGUGCAGAGGGCGAGGGACUGUGUGGAGCUGAGCUGACGCUUGGGAUGCUGUGUGAAGUGGAGACUGCAGAAGGGGAAGGGGAAGACGAUAUCAAAGGAGAGGUGUUCGAGGACCCGUGAGGAGGAGGAGAGGAAACAGUGGGCAAGGAGGAGGGGAUUGGGACAGUGGAAGAAGAGGGGUAAUGGGGAAGAGUCGACACAGAAACAGAAGUGGUUAAAGGACUUUGGCUUGGGUUCAGAGAAGCUGGAGAAGACAAUGGAGAGCUGAAGCUAGAGCUUUGUAGUGGUGCUGUGCUGACUGAGCUCUGGGUUUGUGUGGUCCCUGUUGUGGUCUUUGUGAGUGGCAGGGUUGUGGGUGUGGUGCUCCCUAUUGUUGUUGUCAGCAGUGGGGAUAUGGAUGUGGGUGCCAUGGAUGUGACCGGGACGUGUGUCAAUGGCGUUGGGGUGCCAGUAGGCUUUGUGGUGGAGUAGGUAGCAUGGGACUCAGUUGGGGUGAUGACUUGGUGAGAGGUUGAAGUCACAGAUGUUGACACAUGGAUGGGAAGGGUCUCUGGAUGUGAUGGGGUGGAAUGGGUGGUGGUGGUCCGGAAGGAUGUUCCUGUUGGCAGAACUGUUGUGUGAGAGGUGGUGUGGACAGAAAAGGUGGCACUGGAGUGAGUGGUGAAUGGAGUGUGUGGCCCAGUGGGGGCAGCUGUUGUGUGUGUCACGGGUGUUCCAGUGCCUCUACUGGUAGAUGGAAGGGAGAUAGUACUGAGCAGUGGAGAAGUGCUUACAGGGAGGAUGGUUGAAGUAGAAUGUGAUAUUGGGGCUGUGGAGGUUGUUAUUGUGCUGACCAAGUUUUGGGCUUGAGUGGUCCCUGUUGUGGUCUUUGUCAGUGGUGGGACUGUAGGUGCAGUGGUCUUUGUCAGUGGUGUGGCUGUGGAUGUAGUGGUCUCUGUGGUGGUCUUUGUCAGUGGUGUGGCUAUAGGUGUGGUGGACCCUAUGGUGGUCUUUGUCAGUGGUGUGGCUGUGGUGGUUUCUGUUGUGGUCUUUGUCAGUGGUGUGGCUGUGGUGGUCUCUGCGGUGGUCUUUGUCAGUGGUGUGGCUGUGGUGGUCUCUGCGGUGGUCUUUGUCAGUGGUGUGGCUGUGGUGGUCUCUGUGGUGGUCUUUGUCAGUGGUGUGGCUGUGGGUGUGGUGGUCUCUAUCAGUGGUGUGGCUGUGGGUGUGGUGGUCUCUAUCAGUGGUGUGGCUGUGGGUGUGGUGGUCUCUGUCAGUGGUGUGGCUGUGGUGGUCUCUGUGGUGGUCUUUGUCAGUGGUGUGACUGUGGGUGUGGUGGUCUCUGUCAGUGGUGUGGCUCUGGGUGUGGUGGUUUCUGCUGUGGUGGUUGUCAGUGGUGUGCCUGUGGGUGUGAUGGUCUUUGUCAGUGGUGUGGCUGUAGUGGUGUCUGUGGUGGUCUUUGUCAGUGGUGGGGCUGUGGUGGGUUCUGUGGUAGUCUUUGUCAGUGGUGUGGCUGUGGUGGUCUCUGUGGUGGUCUUUGUCAGUGGUGUGACUGUGGGUGUGGUGGUCUCUGUCAGUGGUGUAGCUCUGGGUGUGGUGGUUUCUGCUGUGGUGGUUGUCAGUGGUGUGCCUGUGGGUGUGAUGGUCUUUGUCAGUGGUGUGGCUGUAGUGGUGUCUGUGGUGGUCUUUGUCAGUGGUGGGGCUGUGGUGGGUUCUGUGGUAGUCUUUGUCAGUGGUGUGGCUGUGGGUGUAGUGGUUUCUGUGGUGGUCUCUGUCAGUGGUGUGACUGUGGGUGUAGUGGUUUUUGUGCUGGUCUCUGUCAGUGGAGUGGCUGUGGAUGUGGUAGUUUUUCUGGUUGUCUUUGUCAGUGGUGUGCCUGUGGGUGUGGUGGUCUCUGUCAGUGGUGUGGCUGUGGAUGUGGUAGUUUUUCUGGUUGUCUUUGUCAGUGGUGUGGCUGUGGGUGUGGUGGUCUCUGUCAGUGGUGUGGCUGUGGGUGUGGUAGUCUCUGUCAGUGGAGUGGCUGUGGAUGUGGUAGUUUUUCUGGUUGUCUUUGUCAGUGGUGUGGCUGUGGGUGUGGUGGUCUCUGUCAGUGGUGUGGGUGUGGGUAUGGUGGUGGUUGUCAGUGGUGUGCCUGUUGGUGUGGUGGUUUCUAUGGUGGUCUUUGUCAGUGGUAUGGGUGUGGUGGUCUCUGUUGUGGUCAUUGUCAGUGGUGUGGCUGUGGGUGUGGUGGUCUCUGUCAUUGGUGUGGCUGUGCUGGUUUCUGUGGUGGUCUCUGUCAGUGCUGUGACUGUGGGUGUAGUGGUUUCUGUGGUGGUCUCUGUCAGUGAUGUGCCUGUGGGUGUAGUGGUUUCUAUGGUGGUCUCUGUCAGUGGUGUGACUGUGGGUGUGGUGGUUUCUGUGUUGGUCUUUGUCAGUGGUGUGGGUGUGGUGGUCUCUGUUGUGGUCAUUGUCAGUGGUGUGGCUGUGGGUGUGGUGGUCUCUGUUGUGGUCUCUGUCAGUGGUGUGGCUGUGGGUGUGGUGGUCUCUGUCAGUGGUGUGACUGUGGGUGUAGUGGUUUCUGUGGUGGUCUCUGUCAGUGGUGUGACUGUGGGUGUAGUGGUUUCUGUGGUGGUCUCUGUCAGUGGUGUGACUGUGGGUGUGGUGGUUUCUGUGGUGGUCUUUGUCAGUGGUGUGGGUGUGGUGGUCUCUGUUGUGGUCAUUGUCAGUGGUGUGGCUGUGGGUGUGGUGGUUUCUGUUGUGGUCUUUGUCAGUGGUGUGUCUGUGGGUGUGGUGGUCUCUGUCAGUGGUGUGGGUGUGGUGGUCUCUGUUGUGGUCUCUGUCAGUGGUGUGUCUGUGGGUGUGGUGGUCUUUGUCAGUGGUGUGGGUGUGGUGGUUUCUGUUGUGGUUGUCAGUGGUGUGGCUCUGGGUGUGGUGGUCUUUGUCAGUGGUGUGGUGGUCUCUGUUGUGGUCUUUGUCACUGGAGUGGCUGUGACUGUGGUGGUUUCUAUUGUGGUUGUCAGUGGUGUGGCUGGGGAUUUGGUGGUCUUUGUCAGUGGUGUGACUGUGGGUGUGGUGGUCUCUGUCAGUGGUGUGGGUGUGGUGGUUUCUGUUGUGGUCUUUGUCAGUGGUGUGACUGUGGUGGUUUUUGUGGUGGUCUUUGUCAGUGGUGUGGGUGUGGUGGUCUCUGUUGUGGUCUUUGUCAGUGGAGUGGCUGUGACUGUGGUGGUUUGUGUUGUAGUCUUUGUCAGUGGUAUGGCUGUGAAUGUGGUGGUCUCUGUCAGUGGUGUGGCUGUGCUGGUUUCUGUGGUGGUUUCUGUCAGUGGUGUGAUUGUGGGUGUAGUGGUUUUUGUGGUGGUCUUUGUCAGUGGUGUGUCUGUGGGUGUGGUGGUCUCUGUUGUCUUUGUCAGUGGUGUGACUGUGGGUGUGGUGGUGUCUGUCAGUGGUGUGACUGUGGGUGUAGUGGUUUUUGUGCUGGUCUCUGUCAGUGGAGUGGCUGUGGAUGUGGUAGUUUUUCUGGUUGUCUUUGUCAGUGGUGUGGCUGUGGGUGUGGUGGUCUCUGUCAGUGGUGUGGCUGUGGGUGUGGUAGUCUCUGUCAGUGGAGUGGCUGUGGAUGUGGUAGUUUCUCUGGUUGUCUUUGUCAGUGGUGUGGCUGUGGGUGUGGUGGUCUCUGUCAGUGGUGUGGGUGUGGGUAUGGUGGUGGUUGUCAGUGGUGUGCCUGUUGGUGUGGUGGUUUCUGUUGUGGUCUCUGUCAGUGGUGUGACUGUGGAUGUGGUGGUUUCUGUGGUGGUCUUUGUCAGUGGUAUGGGUGUGGUGGUCUCUGUUGUGGUCAUUGUCAGUGGUGUGGCUGUGGGUGUGGUGGUCUCUGUCAUUGGUGUGGCUGUGCUGGUUUCUGUGGUGGUCUCUGUCAGUGAUGUGACUGUGGGUGUAGUGGUUUCUGUGGUGGUCUCUGUCAGUGGUGUGACUGUGGGUGUAGUGGUUUCUGUGGUGGUCUCUGUCAGUGGUGUGCCUGUGGGUGUAGUGGUUUCUAUGGUGGUCUCUGUCAGUGAUGUGACUGUGGGUGUAGUGGUUUCUGUUGUGGUCUGUGUCAGUGUUGUGGCUGUGGGUGUGGUGGUUUCUGUUGUGGUCUUUGUCAGUGGUGUGACUGUGGUGGUUUUUGUGGUGGUCUUUGUCAGUGGUGUGGGUGUGGUGGUCUCUGUUGUGGUCUUUGUCAGUGGUGUGACUGUGGGUGUGGUGGUCUCUGUCAGUGGUGUGGCUGUGGGUGUGGUGGUCUUUGUCAGUGGUGUGGCUGUGGGUGUGGUGGUUUCUCUGGUUGUCUUGGUCCAUAGUGUGACUGUGGGUGUGGUUGUCUCUGUUGUAGUCUCUGUCAGUGAUGUCACUGUGGGUGUAGUGGUUUUUGUGGUGGUCUUUGUCAGUGGUGUGGCUGUGGGUAUGGUGGUCUUUGUCAGUGGUGUGGAUGUUGUGGUUUCUGUCAGUGGUGUUCCUGUGGGUGUGGUGGUUUCUGUGGUGGUCUUUGUCAGUGGUGUGCCUGUGGGUGUGGUGGUUUCUGUUGUGGUCUCUGUCAGUGGUGUGGCUGUGGGUGUAGUGGUUUUUGUGGUGGUCUUUGUCAGUGAUGUGACUGUGGAUGUGGUGGUUUCUGUCAGUGGUGUGCCUGUGGGUGUGGUGGUCUCUGUUAUAGUCUCUGUCAGUUGUGUGACUGUGGGUGUAGUGGUUUUUGUG
Molecule: long non-coding RNA, 5361 nt
Organism: Bos taurus (domestic cattle)
Lineage: Eukaryota; Metazoa; Chordata; Mammalia; Artiodactyla; Bovidae
Source: Ensembl